UGCAAGUCGAACGGCAGCAUGAUCUAGCUUGCUAGAUUGAUGGCGAGUGGCGAACGGGUGAGUAAUACAUCGGAACGUGCCCUGUAGUGGGGGAUAACUAGUCGAAAGAUUAGCUAAUACCGCAUACGACCUGAGGGUGAAAGUGGGGGACCGCAAGGCCUCAUGCUAUAGGAGCGGCCGAUGUCUGAUUAGCUAGUUGGUGAGGUAAAGGCUCACCAAGGCGACGAUCAGUAGCUGGUCUGAGAGGACGAUCAGCCACACUGGGACUGAGACACGGCCCAGACUCCUACGGGAGGCAGCAGUGGGGAAUUUUGGACAAUGGGGGCAACCCUGAUCCAGCAAUGCCGCGUGUGUGAAGAAGGCCUUCGGGUUGUAAAGCACUUUUGUCCGGAAAGAAAUCGCACUUACUAAUAUUAGGUGUGGAUGACGGUACCGGAAGAAUAAGGACCGGCUAACUACGUGCCAGCAGCCGCGGUAAUACGUAGGGUCCAAGCGUUAAUCGGAAUUACUGGGCGUAAAGCGUGCGCAGGCGGUUGUGCAAGACCGAUGUGAAAUCCCCGGGCUUAACCUGGGAAUUGCAUUGGUGACUGCACGGCUAGAGUGUGUCAGAGGGGGGUAGAAUUCCACGUGUAGCAGUGAAAUGCGUAGAGUGG
This 653-nucleotide ribosomal RNA is filed under the name uncultured bacterium. RNAcentral's name for it is "bacterial SSU rRNA". It matches the Rfam family "Bacterial small subunit ribosomal RNA", at positions 56 to 699 of the family's 1533-position model. The record is from RNAcentral.